CCCUUAGAUGUUCUGGGCCGCACGCGCGCUACACUGAUGCAUUCAACGAGCCUAUCCUUGACCGACAGGUCCGGGUAAUCUUUGAAUCUGCAUCGUGACGGGGAUAGAUUAUUGCAAUUAUUAAUCUUCAACGAGGAAUGCCUAGUAGGCGCAAGUCAUCAGCUUGCGUCGAUUACGUCCCUGCCCUUUGUACACACCGCCCGUCGCUCCUACCGAUUGGGUGUGCUGGUGAAAUGUUCGGAUCGGCCGUUUGUCGCGGUUUCCGCGUCAUGUGGCUGAGAAGUUAAUUAAACCCUCCCACCGAGAGGAAGGAGAAGUCGUAACA
RNAcentral lists this ribosomal RNA (325 nucleotides) under uncultured eukaryote. Its description in RNAcentral is "partial 18S ribosomal RNA". It matches the Rfam family "Eukaryotic small subunit ribosomal RNA", at positions 1470 to 1796 of the family's 1831-position model. The record is from RNAcentral.